GUGCUCGCUUUCAGCAGCACAUACACUAAAAUUGUACCGAUACAGAGAUUAGCAUGGCCCCUGUGCAAGGAUGACAUGCAAAUUCAUGAAACGUUCCAUAUUUUU
Small nuclear RNA from Onychomys torridus (southern grasshopper mouse), 105 nucleotides. The record is from RefSeq and is a predicted model, not a curated record. Lineage: Eukaryota; Metazoa; Chordata; Mammalia; Rodentia; Cricetidae.